AAUAGAUACCCUGGUAGUCCACGCCGUAAACGAUGAGUGCUAAGUGUUAGAGGGUUUCCGCCCUUUAGUGCUGCAGCUAACGCAUUAAGCACUCCGCCUGGGGAGUACGGCCGCAAGGCUGAAACUCAAAGGAAUUGACGGGGGCCCGCACGAGCGGUGGAGCAUGUGGUUUAAUUCGAAGCAACGCGAAGAACCUUACCAGGUCUUGACAUCCUCUGCCAACCCUAGAGAUAGGGCGUUCCCCUUCGGGGGACAGAGUGACAGGUGGUGCAUGGUUGUCGUCAGCUCGUGUCGUGAGAUGUUGGGUUAAGUCUCGCAACGAGCGCAACCCUUGAUCUUAGUUGCCAGCAUUCAGUUGGGCACUCUAAGGUGACUGCCGGUGACAAACCGGAGGAAGGUGGGGAUGACGUCAAAUCAUCAUGCCCCUUAUGACCUGGGCUACACACGUGCUACAAUGGAUGGUACAAAGAGCUGCGAACCCGCGAGGGUAAGCGAAUCUCAUAAAGCCAUUCUCAGUUCGGAUUGGU
RNAcentral lists this ribosomal RNA (527 nucleotides) under uncultured bacterium. RNAcentral describes it as "bacterial SSU rRNA". It matches the Rfam family "Bacterial small subunit ribosomal RNA", at positions 777 to 1302 of the family's 1533-position model. The record is from RNAcentral.